Molecule: long non-coding RNA, 584 nt
Organism: Mus musculus (house mouse)
Lineage: Eukaryota; Metazoa; Chordata; Mammalia; Rodentia; Muridae
Product: predicted gene, 35917
Exons: 3
Source: RefSeq, a predicted model, not a curated record
GUUUUGAAAAUUUUUGGUACCAGUAAUGAUGCUACCAGGAAUGGUGUAUCAUGUCAUUGAGAGCUUCAGUCAAAAUAAUUGGAUGCUGAACCUAUGCAAUAACAAAGCCUUAAGCAGAGAACCAUCCAGAGAGAACUGGAGACUGUGAACGCAGAAGCACUUCCAGCUGUUGACGUCAGGCAAAACUGAAGAGCAGGUCUCACAUGUGCACAUACACAAAGAGCCCUGCUUUGGAGAGCCGCCAUCGCUAAUGGAAAGACAUUAUGUGGCUGAAGAUCCACAUUUUCCACACAGGAGAGCAGAAUGCUGGCAAGUUAAAUGGCCAAUGGACAAGCAGUUUCCAGCCCAGCAAAAGCUCAGCUUUAAUAUGAGCAGGCAGGCUCCAGGAGGAGUAAAGGCCCAGGAUAUCAGGCCUAAAUCCAUCUUGUGCCAGGAAAUCAAAAGAACCACAGCUUCACACCAUGAAAAUUUACCCUUGGCCCUAAAAACAGUUUUGAGAUGGAGUAGUUUUGCUUCCUUGUUUCUUUCAUCUUUUUCUCAGUUAGUGACUGUUUCACCAUUAAAAGCACUCUUGAAAUUUAUUU